Molecule: unclassified non-coding RNA, 209 nt
Filed under: uncultured fungus
Lineage: Eukaryota; Fungi
Description: sequence contains ITS1
Source: RNAcentral
UUAAUGAUUUAUCAUUUACUCAGACGACAUAACUAACAGUGUUUAAAAUAUCCUUCGGCGGGCACACCCACCCUGACAAGCAGGGUCAGUGGGAGGCAGAAGCCCCACGUCCCACCAAAGCAACAGUUUUAAGGUACACAUAGGGUUGGAGGUCUACCCCAUAGGGGCAUUACUCAGUAAUGAUCCUUCCGCAGGUUCACCUACGGAAA